AGAUUGAACGCUGGCGGCAGGCCCAACACAUGCAAGUCGAGCGGUAGAGAGGUGCUUGCACCUCUUGAGAGCGGCGGACGGGUGAGUAAAGCCUAGGAAUCUGCCUGGUAGUGGGGGAUAACGCUCGGAAACGGACGCUAAUACCGCAUACGUCCUACGGGAGAAAGCAGGGGACCUUCGGGCCUUGCGCUAUCAGAUGAGCCUAGGUCGGAUUAGCUAGUUGGUGAGGUAAUGGCUCACCAAAGGCGACGAUCCGUAACUGGUCUGAGAGGAUGAUCAGUUCACACUGGAACUGG
RNAcentral lists this ribosomal RNA (296 nucleotides) under uncultured soil bacterium. Its description in RNAcentral is "partial 16S ribosomal RNA". It matches the Rfam family "Bacterial small subunit ribosomal RNA", at positions 26 to 322 of the family's 1533-position model. The record is from RNAcentral.